Molecule: small RNA, 415 nt
Filed under: Rattus norvegicus (Norway rat)
Lineage: Eukaryota; Metazoa; Chordata; Mammalia; Rodentia; Muridae
Description: uncharacterized LOC102547380
Source: RNAcentral
UGGGACGUUGGAGGUCAAGAUUCUCUAAAUGGGGAUUUCUAAGAAGCGAUGAAAUGAGAAAAUGAAAAUGAAGCAGGUGAUGCUGGACUGUGUGAGACGGGAGAGAGGAAACUGAGCAGGAACCAUUGCUUUCUUCUUGCUGAUGCAGACAGAAUGUGACUGGUUACUUCAAACUCUGGCUAUUCUGACCUCCCAGCCAUGAUGGACUGUAGCCUGGCACGUCAUGACGGAUCGUAACCAGAACCUAAAACCUCAAGGGAACAAGAGAGGGACUGACAGUUGCUGAUUGCCUUCCGUGGGACACUCAUUCCGUCACCAGAAAAACUCUUCCGGAGGCUUUAUUUUCCCCAGUAUCACCAGAGUAAUAUUAAAGAAGACACUGCAAAACUGGGCUCUCCUGAAUUUCACUCUGUAG